RNAcentral lists this ribosomal RNA (502 nucleotides) under uncultured bacterium. RNAcentral describes it as "partial 16S ribosomal RNA". It matches the Rfam family "Bacterial small subunit ribosomal RNA", at positions 30 to 523 of the family's 1533-position model. The record is from RNAcentral.
AUUGGACGCUGGCGGCAGGCUUAACACAUGCAAGUCGAGCGGGGUGAUGGUGCUUGCACUAUCACUUAGCGGCGGACGGGUGAGUAAUGCUUAGGAAUCUGCCUAUUAGUGGGGGACAACAUCUCGAAAGGGAUGCUAAUACCGCAUACGUCCUACGGGAGAAAGCAGGGGAUCACUUGUGACCUUGCGCUAAUAGAUGAGCCUAAGUCGGAUUAGCUAGUUGGUGGGGUAAAGGCCUACCAAGGCGACGAUCUGUAGCGGGUCUGAGAGGAUGAUCCGCCACACUGGGACUGAGACACGGCCCAGACUCCUACGGGAGGCAGCAGUGGGGAAUAUUGGACAAUGGGGGCAACCCUGAUCCAGCAAUGCCGCGUGAGUGAAGAAGGCCUUCGGGUUGUAAAGCUCUUUUGUCAGGGAAGAAACGGUGGGGGUUAAUACCCUCUGCUAAUGACGGUAUUAUAUGAAUAAGCACCGGCUAACUCCGUGCCAGCCGCCGCCGUAA